CGAGAGGUAGUAUAACCGUUAAAUUACAUGACGCUUACAACGUCAAAAUAAGAGUGAUUGCUCUUCCUCUUGA
RNAcentral lists this transfer RNA (73 nucleotides) under Magallana belcheri. RNAcentral's name for it is "Crassostrea belcheri tRNA-Val". Lineage: Eukaryota; Metazoa; Mollusca; Bivalvia; Ostreida; Ostreidae. The record is from RNAcentral.